CAUAUGGGCAGUUGCCCGGGCAACGUACCUGAGCAACCCCCCUGUGCACGUCCCUGAGCAUAACAGAGUUUACCGAGGCCUUGCCCACACUAAGACGUUUUCCUUUGAAAAUGCAUAUUUUUCUCUCUAUUUUGACCUUCCGUCCACACUGAGACGGCAUUUAUGUCAAUGAAGACGGAGCUUUUUGAAAACGCUCUCCCAAGUGGAUAAAUUCGCUUUGUAUUGUGGACUGUGAAAAUGGAGGGACACAACAAAAAUGGGAGCAUCCUCUGAUGAAUGUGGGCCCGUCACUUUUUCAUUCAGCCUCAGUUUGCUGUGUACAGCAAAACAACACAUCUCUAACCUAAAUUGUGAAAUCCAGGUGCCUAAGGUGGGACUUGUUUACCAAGGCUUCCUGGAUUUGCAGCUCUAAAGCUGGAUGCUACUAUCAUCCACCUGGAUGGGGCAGGGGGUAACCCGGUCAGAAAGCGAGAGAGAGAAUCAAAACAGGCAAGUCCUACUUAUGUUAUUUAAUUUGUGGCAGCUUGUGAUAGCCAGCUUUAUGGAUGGCUCUCACUAUAGGAGGGUAGUUUAGGAUUAUGACAGA
Molecule: long non-coding RNA, 586 nt
Organism: Megalobrama amblycephala (Wuchang bream)
Lineage: Eukaryota; Metazoa; Chordata; Actinopteri; Cypriniformes; Xenocyprididae
Exons: 4
Source: RefSeq, a predicted model, not a curated record